Molecule: ribosomal RNA, 292 nt
Filed under: uncultured bacterium
Lineage: Bacteria
Description: partial 16S ribosomal RNA
Rfam family: Bacterial small subunit ribosomal RNA
Source: RNAcentral
GUGCCAGCCGCCGCGGUAAUACAGAGGGGGCAAGCGUUGUUCGGAAUUACUGGGCGUAAAGGGCGCGUAGGCGGCCCACUAAGUCGAACGUGAAAUCCCUGGGCUCAACCCAGGAACUGCGUCCGAUACUGGUGGGCUCGAAUCCGGGAGAGGGAUGUGGAAUUCCAGGUGUAGCGGUGAAAUGCGUAGAUAUCUGGAGGAACACCGGUGGCGAAGGCGACAUCCUGGACCGGUAUUGACGCUGAGGCGCGAAAGCCAGGGGAGCAAACGGGAUUAGAUACCCGGGUAGUCC